GCGUGUGUGAAGAAGGCCUGCGGGUUGUAAAGCACUUUCGGUUGGGAGGAAAAGGUGAUGGCUAAUAUCCAUCAUUCUUGACGUUACCUUCAGAAGAAGCACCGGCUAACUCCGUGCCAGCAGCCGCGGUAAUACGGAGGGUGCAAGCGUUAAUCGGAAUUACUGGGCGUAAAGCGCACGUAGGUGGUUUGAUAAGUCGAGUGUGAAAUCCCCGGGCUCAACCUGGGAACUGCAUUCGAGACUGUCAGGCUAGAGUAUGGUAGAGGGUAGUGGAAUUCCAGGUGUAGCGGUGAAAUGCGU
RNAcentral lists this ribosomal RNA (300 nucleotides) under uncultured bacterium. RNAcentral's name for it is "bacterial SSU rRNA". It matches the Rfam family "Bacterial small subunit ribosomal RNA", at positions 399 to 691 of the family's 1533-position model. The record is from RNAcentral.